This 449-nucleotide ribosomal RNA is filed under the name uncultured bacterium. RNAcentral describes it as "partial 16S ribosomal RNA". It matches the Rfam family "Bacterial small subunit ribosomal RNA", at positions 29 to 523 of the family's 1533-position model. The record is from RNAcentral.
AACGAACGCUGGCGGCAUGCCUAACACAUGCAAGUCGAACGCUCUAGCAAUAGAGAGUGGCAGACGGGUGAGUAACGCGUGGGAAACUUCCUAGGGGAGCGGAAUAGCUCAGGGAAACUUGGGGUAAUACCGUAUGAUGCCGUAAGGCCAAAGAUUUAUCGCCCUUAGAUGUGCCCGCGUCGGAUUAGCUAGUUGGUGAGGUAAUGGCUCACCAAGGCGACGAUCCGUAGCUGGUUUGAGAGAAUGACCAGCCACACUGGGACUGAGACACGGCCCAGACUCCUACGGGAGGCAGCAGUGGGGAAUCUUGGACAAUGGGCGCAAGCCUGAUCCAGCCAUGCCGCGUGAGUGACGAAGGCCUUAGGGUUGUAAAGCUCUUUUGCCGGGGACGAUAAUGACGGUACCCGGAGAAUAAGUCCCGGCUAACUUCGUGCCAGCAGCCGCCGCAG